RNAcentral lists this microRNA (21 nucleotides) under Brachypodium distachyon (stiff brome). RNAcentral's name for it is "bdi-miR166i-5p". Its record names the gene bdi-miR166i-5p. Lineage: Eukaryota; Viridiplantae; Streptophyta; Magnoliopsida; Poales; Poaceae. The record is from miRBase by way of RNAcentral.
GGCAUGUCGUGUGGCCCGAGA